This 809-nucleotide long non-coding RNA is filed under the name Triticum aestivum (bread wheat). RNAcentral's name for it is "long non-coding RNA (TAES_LNC028636)". Lineage: Eukaryota; Viridiplantae; Streptophyta; Magnoliopsida; Poales; Poaceae. The record is from RNAcentral.
UCCAAACGAACCUUGAAAAAUCAAAAAAUCACACAACACUCCUAUUGUUCUAUGUGACACGAGAAAAAAAUUCGAAAGCAAUAAGAGGAAAUGGAUAUUGUUUCGUCCAUAAAGGUGGCAUGUUCCCUACCGAAAACCAUCAUGCUUGUUGUGUGAAGCUCUGGUUUGUGAGAAGUAUAUACCCAAACCUGCCCCAAAUGGGACAAAAUUUGUACCACGGCAUGUUGAUACCGCUCCAUGAUAGCAUGCAAAGUUUCAUGAAUUUUAGACUAGUUUUGGAUUUCCUAAAAUGUAAAAAUCAGGCAUCUCAAUGUUUUGCCGGCAAUCAACGUUACCCCGGUGUUUGAAAUUCAUUCCCAUUUCUUGCAUGGGACCUAAGCAUGCACCAAAGGACACAGAUUUGAUUUUUCAACCAAUUUAUAUGCACUGGAGCAUGUGCAUGUAGUUCACAUUUGAAUUAUGCACAUAAAAUGCAUUUUAAACUCAGUUAAUGCAUAAAAAUGUCCAAACGAACCCCGAAAAAUCACAAAAAUUCACAUAACACUCAUGUUGUUCUAUGUUGACCCGAGAAAAAAAAAUUGAAAGCAAUAAGAGGCAAUUGAUAUCGUUUCGUCCACAAAGGUGGGACGUUCCCUACCGAAAACCAUCAUGCUUGUUGUGAGAAGCUCCGGUUUGUGAGAAGUAUAUACCCAAACCUGCCCCAAAUGGGACAAAAUUUGUACCACGGCAUGUUGAUGCCGCUCCAUGAUAGCACGCCAAGUUUAAUGAAUUUCAGACGAGUUUUCUAUGUACUAGAAUUUAAAAACCAC